RNAcentral lists this ribosomal RNA (254 nucleotides) under uncultured bacterium. RNAcentral's name for it is "partial 16S ribosomal RNA". It matches the Rfam family "Bacterial small subunit ribosomal RNA", at positions 524 to 776 of the family's 1533-position model. The record is from RNAcentral.
UACGUAGGGUGCGAGCGUUAAUCGGAAUUACUGGGCGUAAAGCGUGCGCAGGCGGUCUGUUAAGACCGAUGUGAAAUCCCCGGGCUUAACCUGGGAACUGCAUUGGUGACUGGCAGGCUUUGAGUGUGGCAGAGGGAGGUAGAAUUCCACGUGUAGCAGUGAAAUGCGUAGAGAUGUGGAGGAAUACCGAUGGCGAAGGCAGCCCCCUGGGCCAAUACUGACGCUCAUGCACGAAAGCGUGGGGAGCAAACAGG